CGAUGGGCGGCAGCCCUUACCAUGCAAGUCGAACGGCAGCACGGGUGCUUGCACCUGGUGGCGAGUGGCGAACGGGUGAGUAAUACAUCGGAACAUGUCCUGUAGUGGGGGAUAGCCCGGCGAAAGCCGGAUUAAUACCGCAUACGAUCUACGGAUGAAAGCGGGGGACCUUCGGGCCUCGCGCUAUAGGGUUGGCCGAUGGCUGAUUAGCUAGUUGGUGGGGUAAAGGCCUACCAAGGCGACGAUCAGUAGCUGGUCUGAGAGGACGACCAGCCACACUGGGACUGAGACACGGCCCAGACUCCUACGGGAGGCAGCAGUGGGGAAUUUUGGACAAUGGGCGAAAGCCUGAUCCAGCAAUGCCGCGUGUGUGAAGAAGGCCUUCGGGUUGUAAAGCACUUUUGUCCGGAAAGAAAUCCUUGGCUCUAAUACAGUCGGGGGAUGACGGUACCGGAAGAAUAAGCACCGGCUAACUACGUGCCAGCAGCCGCGGUAAUACGUAGGGUGCAAGCGUUAAUCGGAAUUACUGGGCGUAAAGCGUGCGCAGGCGGUUUGCUAAGACCGAUGUGAAAUCCCCGGGCUCAACCUGGGAACUGCAUUGGUGACUGGCAGGCUAGAGUAUGGCAGAGGGGGGUAGAAUUCCACGUGUAGCAGUGAAAUGCGUAGAGAUGUGGAGGAAUACCGAUGGCGAAGGCAGCCCCCUGGGCCAAUACUGACGCUCAUGCACGAAAGCGUGGGGAGCAAACAGGAUUAGAUACCCUGGUAGUCCACGCCCUAACGAUGUCAACUAGUUGUUGGGGAUUCAUUUCCUUUAGUAACGUAGCUAACGCGUGAGUGACCGCCUGGGGAGUACGGUCGGCAAGAUUAGACUCAAAGGAUUGACGGGACCCGCACAGCGUGAUGGAUGUGGAUAUCCGAAUGCACGGCGAAAACCUUAACCCUAUACCCC
RNAcentral lists this ribosomal RNA (949 nucleotides) under Burkholderia lata. Its description in RNAcentral is "bacterial SSU rRNA". It matches the Rfam family "Bacterial small subunit ribosomal RNA", at positions 34 to 988 of the family's 1533-position model. Lineage: Bacteria; Pseudomonadati; Pseudomonadota; Betaproteobacteria; Burkholderiales; Burkholderiaceae. The record is from RNAcentral.